GUGCCCAUGGCUCAGCGGAUAGAGUGUUCGGCUACGAACCGAAAGGUCCGGGGUUCGAAUCCCUGUGGGCACGCCA
Molecule: transfer RNA, 76 nt
Filed under: Eubacteriaceae bacterium
Lineage: Bacteria; Bacillati; Bacillota; Clostridia; Eubacteriales; Eubacteriaceae
Description: tRNA-Arg
Rfam family: tRNA
About the family: Transfer RNA (tRNA) molecules are approximately 80 nucleotides in length.
Source: RNAcentral